RNAcentral lists this ribosomal RNA (620 nucleotides) under uncultured bacterium. RNAcentral describes it as "bacterial SSU rRNA". It matches the Rfam family "Bacterial small subunit ribosomal RNA", at positions 202 to 842 of the family's 1533-position model. The record is from RNAcentral.
AAAAACUCCGGUGGUAUGAGAUGGACCCGCGUCUGAUUAGCUGGUUGGCGGGGUAACGGCCCACCAAGGCGACGAUCAGUAGCCGACCUGAGAGGGUGACCGGCCACAUUGGGACUGAGACACGGCCCAAACUCCUACGGGAGGCAGCAGUGGGGAAUAUUGCACAAUGGGGGAAACCCUGAUGCAGCAACGCCGCGUGAGUGAAGAAGUAUUUCGGUAUGUAAAGCUCUAUCAGCAGGGAAGAAAAUGACGGUACCUGAGUAAGAAGCCCCGGCUAACUACGUGCCAGCAGCCGCGGUAAUACGUAGGGGGCAAGCGUUAUCCGGAUUUACUGGGUGUAAAGGGAGCGUAGACGGCGAUGCAAGUCUGAAGUGAAAGCCCGGGGCUCAACCCCGGGACUGCUUUGGAAACUGUAUGGCUGGAGUGCUGGAGAGGCAAGCGGAAUUCCUAGUGUAGCGGUGAAAUGCGUAGAUAUUAGGAAGAACACCAGUGGCGAAGGCGGCUUGCUGGACAGUAACUGACGUUGAGGCUCGAAAGCGUGGGGAGCAAACAGGAUUAGAUACCCUGGUAGUCCACGCUGUAAACGAUGAAUGCUAGGUGUUGGGGAGCAAAGCUUCUCG